UUAAUUAAACUGUUUAUCCAAACAGGGCCUAAAAUACUAGAGAAUAAUAGGGAGCAUAUUGCUAACAUUUUCUCAUUCAGAAAUAAAGGAAUAACAGAAAAUGAAUUAUACAGGAUUAAGCAGAAUAAUCAAACCUGGUUGAUGAACUAUAGUAGACAAAAUGAGUACCCGGAGGAAUCAUCUUAAUACCCUUAAAAGCAGGUCCAACAGAGAACAUCUAUAAAGGUUGACAAUUUUGUUCAACAUCAACAAGUUGGUUCACAAUUUUGGAGAGCGCGGUAGACUGAUGGAUACCCCCAUUUGAAAUUACCUCAUAUGCUGAUUUCACUGAAUAAGCGCCUCCCAGAUCAGCUAACCAUUGCAAUCUGUCAAUAUCCCCAACCUCCAAAAGUACAUUAGCCAGCAACACAUUGAUUACGUCAUACAUGGUCAAUUCAGUAACAAAAAAAAAAUUAUUUAUAACUGUGCAUACCAUGUGAAUAAAAAAGACAUACACCUACUGAAUUAAUUCGCUCGGCCACUUCUGCAUGAAAAGCCAUUGCCCCUCCUUCCAUUCACCAAAAUCUUCCACCAUUGCAUUUGAAACAGCAAUAAUUCCAUAUUGAACCUUUUGCAAUAAAUUAGUCAUUUGUUGAAUUGUAGUUAAACAAAAAAAAAAGCCUCAAACAAAUUAGGCGUGAAUUUAGGUUUUUUCUUAAAAUAUACGGCUAACAUUAGGAUAAUGCAUUAGCCUAUUUUCCAUCACACUCAUCAACAUAAACGGUGUAUUGUUGAUAUUUAGCCUCUAUUUACUAUCUCAAGUCUCUCUCAAUUUCUAUCCUUCUGCAAGCUAAGAGUCUUCUCUUGCUAAGUCAGAUUCCAUAUCACCCGCCCACUAGAACUUUCCCUUCUUCUCGAGUCUUUUUCUCUUUUAUACCUUCACACUUUACAUCAAUUUACACUAUGCAAACCAGUCUAAAUAGGGGUUAGUAAUCCAUGUCUCAAUCAAACAAUUAUGUUUAAAACCUCGAAACCCACAUAGGUUAGGCAAGCUCUGAAUAGAAAGAUGUUAUGCACAUUCAGAAGACGAGUAGAACCAUCUAAUAGUUUUUGUCGACUAAAUAACAACACAUCCGGUGGUAUUGACAAUAGAUGAGCAAUUUUCCUGCUAUUUUUUAUAUGUUACAACCUCCAUCAAGCAAACAACAACUGAUUUCUACAUUUGAACAACAAAUACGACUCAAUACGUAAUAAACAUAAUAACAUCUUUCUCAAAUUCUUUGAAGAGAUGGUACAUUAACAUUUAUCACUUCAUUGUAAUAUAAGAUGUACCUUGUGCAGAAAGGGCUCCUGAUAUUAUGCCUUUUGAACAACAUAAUCUGGUGCUUUCUUCUCUAAAUUAGAGUAUGCAGAAACCCUACGUACACAAAAAGCAUAAAAUUGCAUGAAAGCCACCAAUUCAGGGUAUGAAGACUCAAAUAUCAGAAUUUUGCAUUCAAAGUCAUCAAAGACAUAUAUUAAAUUUUUACAUCUAAGAUUACCAAGGCGCACAUUAGUACACUACCAUCAUCUAAUUUAUGAAAACUACCUGGUAUAAUUGCAUCAAGGGUCAUUUCGACAUGCAUUUCAAAUUAUGAAUAAACAUUAAUAUAGAAAUUGCAUUUAGGCCAACAAUUGGUUAUCAAGGCUCAAAUAUAGAAUUUUGCAUUCGAAGUCAUCAAGGGACAAUGUAACCCAAGCAAACCACCAUCAUGUUAAUUUAUCAUUAUUAAAAAAGCAUCAAAGUCAACGUAUCAAGGGUAUCUCAACGCAUUUCAAGUUAUGAAUAAGAAUUCACAAUUAAAAUGCAUUUAGGCCAACAAUUCAGGGUCACCGAGGCUUGAAUAUCGAAUUUCGCAUUAAGCCAUCAAGGCACAUAUAUUCAAUUUUGCAUCUUUGGUCACCAAAGGCAUACUACCAUCAUCUAUAUUUAUCAUUAUGCAAAAAGCAUCAUACAAUCAUUAUAUCAAAGGGUUGUCUCGACAUGCAUAUCAAGUUAUGAAUAAAAAUUCAGAAUGAAAUUGCAUUUAGGCCAACAAUUCAGGGUCAUCAAGGGAGAUAUAUUCAAUUUUCACAUCUAUGGUCACCAAGGCACAAAACCAUCAUCCCAAUUUACCAUUACGAAAAAAACAUUGUGUAGUCAUUGCAUCAAGGGUCAUCUCAACUUGCAUUUCAAGUUAUGAAUAAACAUUCAUCAUUCAAGUCUCUAUCACAUUCAGACAAACAAUUUAGGGACAUCUAGGGACAUAUACUCACCAAGAGCUUCACCAACAUCCACUCCACAAUAAAGGGCAAUUCAGUCUGUCUCUGAAAGGACAAAUUGAUCAAGUUCAUCACAGAUUCAUAUUCCAAUGCCAACUCUAUUUAAAUUCGACGAAAAUUAUGCAUCAAUAUUACAUUUGAAUCAUCCCAGAGUUGGUCUUUUCCAAUUAACAGCAGCAGAAUCUGUCCACGCCGCACUAGGCUCAGCCACAGUAGCAUUCUGCAAAGCAAAAGCCCGUAUCAGACCUGAAGGCAAUCCAGACUGUCUUUGAAAGCACAAAUUGACCAAAUUCAUCACAGAUUCAUAUUCCAAUGCCAACUCUAUUUAAAUUCGACAAAAAGGAUGCAUCAAUAUUAUAUUUGACUCAUCCCAGAGGUUGUCUAAUCCAAUUAACAACAGCAGAAUUUGUCCACGACGCACCAAGCUCAGCCACGGUAGCAUUCU
This 2725-nucleotide long non-coding RNA is filed under the name Trifolium pratense (red clover). RNAcentral's name for it is "long non-coding RNA (TPRA_LNC002014)". The record is from RNAcentral. Lineage: Eukaryota; Viridiplantae; Streptophyta; Magnoliopsida; Fabales; Fabaceae.